GCUAUAGUAGCAUAAAGUAAAAUGUAUCAGAUUUAGGCUCUGAAGAUAAAAGUAAUUUUCUAUUGUG
RNAcentral lists this transfer RNA (67 nucleotides) under Phoronopsis harmeri. Its description in RNAcentral is "tRNA-Leu". It matches the Rfam family "tRNA". Rfam says of the family: Transfer RNA (tRNA) molecules are approximately 80 nucleotides in length. Their secondary structure includes four short double-helical elements and three loops (D, anti-codon, and T loops). Further hydrogen bonds mediate the characteristic L-shaped molecular structure. tRNAs have two regions of fundamental functional importance: the anti-codon, which is responsible for specific mRNA codon recognition, and the 3' end, to which the tRNAs corresponding amino acid is attached (by aminoacyl-tRNA synthetases). tRNAs cope with the degeneracy of the genetic code in two manners: having more than one tRNA (with a specific anti-codon) for a particular amino acid; and 'wobble' base-pairing, i.e. permitting non-standard base-pairing at the 3rd anti-codon position. Lineage: Eukaryota; Metazoa; Phoronida; Phoronidae. The record is from RNAcentral.